RNAcentral lists this ribosomal RNA (427 nucleotides) under uncultured bacterium. RNAcentral describes it as "bacterial SSU rRNA". It matches the Rfam family "Bacterial small subunit ribosomal RNA", at positions 917 to 1344 of the family's 1533-position model. The record is from RNAcentral.
GGGCCCGCACAAGCGGUGGAGUAUGUGGUUUAAUUCGAUGCAACGCGAAGAACCUUACCAGGGUUUGACAUCCUGCGAAUCUCUUGGAAACGAGAGAGUGCCUUCGGGAACGCAGUGACAGGUGGUGCAUGGCUGUCGUCAGCUCGUGUCGUGAGAUGUUCGGUUAAGUCCGGCAACGAGCGCAACCCACAUCCCUAGUUGCCAGCAGUUCGGCUGGGCACUCUAUGGAAACUGCCCGUGAUAAGCGGGAGGAAGGUGUGGAUGACGUCAAGUCCUCAUGGCCCUUACGGGUUGGGCUACACACGUGCUACAAUGCUACGGACAAAGGGCUGCAAGUUCGCGAGGACAAGCAAAUCCCAUAAACCGUGGCUCAGUUCAGAUCGUAGGCUGCAACUCGCCUACGUGAAGGCGGAAUCGCUAGUAAUCG